Molecule: ribosomal RNA, 278 nt
Filed under: uncultured bacterium
Lineage: Bacteria
Description: partial 16S ribosomal RNA
Rfam family: Bacterial small subunit ribosomal RNA
Source: RNAcentral
CCUACGGGAGGCAGCAGUGAGGAAUAUUGGUCAAUGGACGCAAGUCUGAACCAGCCAUGCCGCGUGCAGGAAGACGGCUCUAUGAGUUGUAAACUGCUUUUGUACGAGGGUAACCGCAGAUACGUGUAUCUGUCUGAAAGUAUCGUACGAAUAAGCAUCGGCUAACUCCGUGCCAGCAGCCGCGGUAAUACGGAGGAUGCGAGCGUUAUCCGGAUUUAUUGGGUUUAAAGGGUGCGCAGGCGGCGUGUCAAGCAAGCGGUAAACUAGCGGGGCUCAAC